CGGACGGGUGGAGUAACGCGUGGAAAACCUGCCGUAUACUGGGGGAGUAACACUUAGAAAUAGGUGCUAAUACCGCAUAAGCGCACAGCUUCGCAUGAAGCGGUGUGAAAAACUCUGGUGGUAUACGAUGGUUCCGCGUCUGAUUAGCUAGUUGGUGGGGUAAUGGCCUACCAAGGCAACGAUCAGUAGCCGGCCUGAGAGGGUGAACGGCCACAUUGGGACUGAGACACGGCCCAAACUCCUACGGGAGGCAGCAG
RNAcentral lists this ribosomal RNA (257 nucleotides) under uncultured bacterium. Its description in RNAcentral is "partial 16S ribosomal RNA". It matches the Rfam family "Bacterial small subunit ribosomal RNA", at positions 99 to 354 of the family's 1533-position model. The record is from RNAcentral.